Molecule: long non-coding RNA, 2611 nt
Filed under: Nicotiana benthamiana
Lineage: Eukaryota; Viridiplantae; Streptophyta; Magnoliopsida; Solanales; Solanaceae
Description: long non-coding RNA (NBEN_LNC021492)
Source: RNAcentral
AUUCAAAAUGUGAAUCUCAGGUAUGUUUAAAUCCUAAUUUUUCAUUUUUUGAGGAGAAAGAAGUUCCUCCAUUUUAAUAUCGAUUUCGUGAAGUUCCUCCGUUCAAAUCCCUAAUCCGACUUGAAUAAAAGAAACGAUUCUAUCCAUAAUCGAUUUCACCUUUCUUUCUUCCCGUUACUGUCCCAUAUCGAACUAAAACCCAUAAAGAUUUGUAUAAGAUAUAUUUACAUUUGGGUAUUUUUGUAUAAUGGUUCUGUUAGACGUGUGGUUAGACCUGCCAUGUUGUAUGGGGUGGAGUGUUGGCCAGCGAAGAACUCUCAUGUUAGAGAAUGAAGGUUGCGGAGAUAAGGAUGCUCGGGUGGAUGUGCGGGCUCACCAGGUUAGAUAAGAUUAAGAAUGAAGUUAUUCGAGAGAAGUUGGGGGUGGCCCCGGUGGAUGAGAAGAUGCGAGAAGCGAGUCUGAGGUGGUUUGGGCAUGUGCGGAGGGAGGCCUAAGAGGUAGGUGAUUAGGCAUGACAUAGCUAGAAUGCGGGUUUACGAGGACAUGACCCUUGAUAGGAAAGUCUGGAGGUCUAGUAUCAGGGUUGUAGGAUAGGGGCUCCUAGCGUUUUUCAUACUCCUCACCCGGAGUUGGGUGAGGCUUGGCAGGGCUAUUCAUAGAUGAUUUGUGUAUUGGAUUAUCUCCCUUAUGGUAGUUAUUUAUGGUAGGUAGUGUCUGAUAUUAUUGCAUGCUAUUUUAUUUAUGGUUCUUAUGUUUAGAUAAUUAUUUACGCUAUUUCUGGUGGAUUUACUAAUGCUCUAUUAUUUUCGUUUUUGUUUUUCUUUUCCUUCACUGAGCCGAGGGUCGAUGUUUCUGCUGGAGUUACUAAAGUUCUUUUGUUUUUGUUUUUGUUUUUCUUUCCCUUAACUGAGUCGAGGGUCGAGUGGAGACAGCCUCUCUGCCCUUUCGGGUAGGGUAAGGCCCGUUUACAUAUUACCCUCCCCAGACCCCACUUUGUGGGACUAUACUGGGUAGUUGUUGUUGUUGUUGUUGGUUCUGUUAGACAAAAGUUUCAACAUGUAAUUAGGAUAAUUAUUUUUUCAGCAAUUUCACUUUUGUCUUCUCAGAUUUCAUCCCGAGUUUUUCUGAGUCAUUUGAUAAUCUAAAGGAAUACCUAACAGAUCACACAGAAAGAAUCAUUUGAAGCGUAUUUAGUCUUGUUAUUUUCGAUUCCCGGUUUUGACAGAAUCUCAGCUGUCUCUUUUCUUGGGUAAGUUAAAAUCUUCUUCUUGAGAGACGUUUUGGAUGUCGGCAUUCUAUUCAGUUUGAAUUAUUAUAGGAGCUUCAUAGGUUCUUUCAGUUAUGUCCAUGUCGCAAUAGUCCGUGUAACUCCUUAAAUUAUAUAUGGAAUAGUACAUAUAUAUGCUUUUAAUAUGACUUACUCUCCGUCCGAUGUGUAUAAUUUACAUACUGUGAAAGUCAGGUAGAACUAACACCCUCCAAAGCUGCUACAAUUUGAUGAUGCUUGGAUGGUAUAAAAGCAGGAACAUUUGGAACCUUCUCGGCUUGUACCUUUACUGCCUCAUUCUUUGAUGGAAGAGUUUCUGAAAAUUGAGCUGCCCCAUUGUCACAAGUGCGUUUAACAACAAUUGCAUGUGUCGCACCUUGUUGAUCCUUAGAGCUACUUAACUCGUUUUUAGCAUCCAGCAAUUGCCUAAGAUCUUCUUGAAACUUCUCUACAGAAAUUUUAUCGCCGCGAUACUCGACUUCCCCGUUCCCUACACAUUCUUGAUGAAGUGAUCAAGACAAUCGAUCUGAAUUCUUUACCUACCAAUGAUAAUGAUCAAGGACGGAUACUCUUGGUGCGUGCUUCUUCCUUCUCUCCAAGAGUUGUGUAGAUUACUUAAUAAGCUAACAGUUUGCUGCUAUAUUCUGGACGUAGGAGCAUUUCCCUGUUAUAGAUAUGAAAUGGUAACAAGUGAUCAACUGCUGUUGCUUUUAACUUUGACAUUCGAGUACUUGUCUUUUUCUUUUCUUUUUCCCCUUUACAAUAAUUAACUAGUUCUCAAGCUUACAACAUAACAAGGUGUGCUAUCUACAACCCGAUAGAGACCAACUAUUUAAAAUGCAUCAGGCCUUCAUCAUGAUACAAUUAUUGUAGCAUAUCGACUUUAAGAUUUCUUAAAAAACAUGUGCUAAAAAAUGGAAGUAGGAGUUUUGUAACGUGGAGUAAUCAAGUCUAUAUAUUUGUGGAAUGGUACAUCAGUCAUACGUGGGCUUGAUCUUAUAAUCUUUGGGAGCCCACUGUGGAUUCUGUUUGUGAGUUUGAAGCUAUAGGUUUUAGUCACUAGAACUAGAAUUCUUUUACCAAGUGUUUAUUAUGGGGUCAUUAAAUAUCUGAUAGUAGUUCAAAUAUUCUAUUUCUUAUCUUUAUACUUUUUUUUGGGGACCAGGCAUGUGACUUUUCUGUGUGGAGGAGGAGGGGUAUAUGCUCUUGGAGCUGUUGCUGCUAACUAUAGUAGGGACCAACACAAGAGAGAGAGCAGGGGGGCUAUAUGCUCUUGGAGCUGUUGCUGCUAACUAUAGUAGGGACCAACACAAGAGAGAGUUGUAUUUGAAACAUUUCUUUGAG